UCACAAGUUUUAAGGCUUCUGUUAACCAGAAAGUUCAAACUAACAGAGAAGUAUUGAGAAACUUAAAAUCCUUUGACUUGUUAUUUGUACAAUAUAUGAUGUAUAUGAUGGUGUUUUUUCAUACAAAAGAGACAUACGAUGCUACUCUGCUUGUUCUGGCCAUGGGCUGCUGCACUCCUCCUCUGUUGUUUUCUGGAUUGUACUCAGCUGCAUGCCUUCGUCCACCAGGCCUCCGUUGACUCGUCCCGCCUGCCGUCUCUGGAGCUGAAGCUGGAUUGGAACAGACCAAAGUACAGUCCAAUCACGAUGCCAGCUGCCUCUCAAAAGGCUCCUUCAUCUGGCAGGUGGCGGCACUUCUUCUGAGGGGAAGCUGAGCUGGCCUGGCAGAACUUUGGAGAUGUGUUCCAGUGGUUGGUGGAUGUGUGGGGAGAUAGAGAGAGGGACCUUUGAAUUGUUCACAAAGAAAAAAAGAGAACCCAUUGGUAGUUUUAGUUUAGGGUGCUACUGCAGUGCGUUUUUGGGUUUAAGAGGUGAACAGGAAGAGUUUUUUUUCCUAUUGAUUAUCUUUAACUUUGUUCCUGGUUGGAAUGCCCAUCAAUGUCAACGUGAAGUUCACUUGAGUUCUGUUUAUUUAUUUUUAUUUUACUAACACCCAUUUGCUUUUAACCCCCUCACAUGUUGUGUCAGGGGUGGACUGGCCAUCUGGCGUACCGGGUGAUGCCCGGUGGGCCGACGCACAUUUUUGGGCCGGCCCAGGGGGUGUCAUAAUUUAGCCAAGAAAGUAUAUUAUAAAUCCUUUUUGUCGAUUGUGACGGCCCAUUGGUUGAUUUUCUUGAAGGACAUUGGACUAAUCCAAUGAAAUCUCUCAGCCCUCCUCGGCCCGCCCCUCCCCGGCCUCUUGACCAAAGUCAUCAAAUUUUGCCGUUUGAGUUGGCCGGAAGUGGAGAGGAGCAAAGAUGGAGAAACGGCCCAAACGAAAGGGGGGCGCUGAAAAAUUGCGCGAAAAAAGGCUUAAAAGCCUGCAAGUCGAUGCAGCAAAAUGCAGCAAAAUAAGUGACAUGUUUGCCGUUGCUUCCACUACUUCACCUGCAGCAGCGAGUGCUGCUGCCAUGAUAGAAAAAGAAGCCGAAGUUCAGGGGGAGUCGGAGGAAAAGGAGCAGGAGGAGGAGGACGGUAACGGGCUAACAGGAGCUAAUCUGACCUCCUCGAUCUGUCCCUGCUGUGUUACGUCUCUCCCUCCGUCCUCCUCCUCCUUCUCCUCCUGCUCCUUUUCCUCCGACUCCCCCUGAACUUCGGCUUCUUUUUCUAUCCUGGCAGUUGCUACAUAUUCGUUCUUGAGGAUUAUCGGAUGGCUAAUUUUCUUCACGGCUAAUCUGUCCCCCAGGGAUGUUCCAGGGAUGUGCCUUUCAUUGGUGUGGACUUCACAGGCAUUCUUCACAUUUGGCAUAUUUGGAGUGAAGGUCUACCUUUCCCUGAUGUGGAGUUUACAUGUUUUCCUUUUCUAUCAUUGUGAGUUUACUAAACAGUUCUUAUUUUAAUAAUAUUUAAUUCCAGUUUUAAUUAGAAGAGACAGUAUCAGAUGAAUCUAGCAUAUCUGACGUCACCUCUGCUUUCUGUCUUCAUCAGAGCAGCAAGGUCCAUGCAGCCUUUUGUCUCAGCAUAUAUAGGUACAAAAUAUUAUCUCUCUGUUCACCUAAACAUUAUUAAAACUAUACCUUAACUGAUUCCAGCUCUCUUUCUUUUCUUUAUCAUCUAUGCAUCUCUCUCUCUAUCUUUCUCUCUCUCAAUCUCUCUCUUCAUACUUUAAGGUUCCAUUUUGGUGAAGAGCUCCACUUUUAAUUCAAGUUGGUAAUUUUGACACUUUGAAAUAAAAUUUUAAAUAAAGUCUCUGUGAGAAGUGAUAGAGUGUAUCUUUUUUUUUAAACAUGGUUACUCUCUUCCACGUAGGCUGCUGCGUUUUAUUUUAAUUUUUGAAACUAUACAAUGUGCACAUAUAUCCUCUGGUAUGUCGUAUGCCUUGGCAUAUUGUAUAAAUAAUCAUGGUGGGCCACCAUGACCAAAAAUGCCAGGGCCGUAUUUUGGUCCCAGUCCAGCCCUGUGUUGUGUUGUUGUAAACUUAUUCUUUCAAAUAAAUACUCGUCUAACCCCCUGGAAACCAGCGUUUGUCCUGCUUUUGUGUUGCUCCUCUGCGACCCGAGACAGCCGGGUCGUAAUGUUUUUUGAGCAACACACCAUACUAUGAUGUUUUUACAAUGAGGGUUCUACUAUGGAACCAGUUUGACAUGUUCAGGUGUUCUUUGUGUGAAAACUCAGAGAUUUCAGGUAACAGAAGGUGGUUUUCAACUUUCUUUGUUUACUUUCUGCUUCAACUUUAAAUUAAAUUUCCUUCACUAAGCCAGCCCUCUGGACUUCCAGGAAGCUGUGUUCCUAUUGGCUGUCCAGGUGGCUGCUUGGUGUUAUCAGGAACACCUGAGCAGCUCAGUGUCUUCCGCUUUAUUUAGCUGCAGACAAACAUUUCCUCUGCUUCUCUUCACCACCGAACCGGGUUUGGCUCUGUUGCUUUAGUAUGUUCUUUAGGCGUUGGCUUGCAGCUUCCAGCAGUAAAAUCGUCUAGAAUGUGUUUCUUGGUGUGUUUUAGGGCUUUGUACCAGAUAGUUGUCUUGGUACAUGUGGUUCUUUAGCCACAGUUAGCACAUGGUGCUAAUGUCUGCAGUGAUUAGUGGAUUUAGUGCAGCUGAGUUGUGUCUUUAUCUUGGCUGUAGUGAGUCUUUAGAGGUUUUUGGUCAGACACACACACAUUGGUUGUCCAGAAGGUAAGAGUUCCUGUCCUGAUUCUCUGUUCUCAGAGGUUCUCUGGUAGGCUGCAGGAGACUUCAGCGUUUGGGUUGUGUUAGUUUGGUUUUUGUAUGGUUUCAUUUGGACGACUAUCUUGAGGCCCCUCCAUGUGGUUUAGUGAGGUUUUCUGGAACAGUUCUACAUAGCAACCUGCAGCAGAAGAGACUUUGAGAGUUUUUAGGAAGUUCUGGAGACCAGACUUUAGAGCAGCAGAAACAUUUGUCAGCAGUUUGAGCAGGAGAAGGUGAGCUUCAGAGUAGAAAUGAGGAGAAGGAAACCUUCUUGACCCGUGUGGUGAGGUCCUGUACCAAGAGUUUGAGCAGGUUGUGAAGAGUCUGUAGUUCUUUGGUCUGAAAGCACAAGAAGAGUCGACUCAUUAAAGGAGAAAACAGGAGAUAUUGUUGGUUCUUCUGUCGCUCUGCAGUUUCCAGUUUCCUUAGACUGAAUAUCAAGUUUAUAUUUUAAAUGAUUUACCAUGUGAGCCCAAAAAGACUUCAAUAAACUCCCUCCAUCCCCUGGACACAACACAUUUUAUUACCAUGUUAAAUCUUUUUUUAAAAAAUGUUACUGAGUUUUAAUCAUAGUCUUAGCGUAGUUUUUUCUCUUUGCUUGUUUAGUUUUGUCAUUUGUGUGAAAGGUGUUAAACAAAUAAAGUUGAGUUGAUAAACUGAAUAAUUGACUAACUCAUGAUUGUGACAACAGAAGUAUUUUCAUUGUGAUUUAAGGGUU
Amphiprion ocellaris (clown anemonefish) is the source of this 3564-nucleotide long non-coding RNA. RefSeq lists it as uncharacterized. The transcript has 3 exons. Lineage: Eukaryota; Metazoa; Chordata; Actinopteri; Pomacentridae. The record is from RefSeq and is a predicted model, not a curated record.